Molecule: long non-coding RNA, 307 nt
Filed under: Trifolium pratense (red clover)
Lineage: Eukaryota; Viridiplantae; Streptophyta; Magnoliopsida; Fabales; Fabaceae
Description: long non-coding RNA (TPRA_LNC012109)
Source: RNAcentral
CAGGAUGGCCCAUUUCGGAAUAAUGGGAACCCUAAUUGGCCAUCACCUUAUAUAUAGGCUAUGGUCCCCAAUAUACCGUACAUGAGCAAAUAAUCUCUUCUCCCCAUCUGAAGAGAAUUCAAGGCAUUAGUGUACCGGUUGAGGAAGAACCACAAGCCAACGGAUGCUCGUCGUCCGUCUCUCUCUUUGUGUUUCAGGAUUGCUACCGAGAGAUUCUGCGGUUAGUUCAUCUAAUGGAUUCAUCAUCCAGGUAUUCCUAUUCCUAUUACUAUAAUCUUGAUAAAUCAACAUGUCGUAGAUCCUGUUU